Rattus norvegicus (Norway rat) is the source of this 693-nucleotide non-coding RNA. Lineage: Eukaryota; Metazoa; Chordata; Mammalia; Rodentia; Muridae. The record is from RefSeq and is a predicted model, not a curated record.
GUCAUCCUGGGCUCCUUCAUAGUCUCUGCAUCAGCUCCUGCCCACAGAUUCCUGCCCACAGAUUCCUGUCCUGUUUGAGUUUCUAUCCUGACUUCUUUCAAUGAUGGACUACAUCUGGAAGUCAAGUGGAGACCAUCACAGAGAACCACAACUGUGCGCAGUACAGUGACCAACAGAUCGUGGGGAGCCCGGCUCCAAGGCCUACGUCUGCAUCGCAGCUCUGGCAUCUAUGGCUCUGGGAACGUCGCAGAAGCAGAGGCAGAAAGAUCAGAAGUCAGAGUACAAGGAAAUGAGUGAAACAGUUUCUCCUUAGCAUGGCCACACAAACAAGACUGGAACGGUGGCAAUGCCAGGGCCCGGCUGCUGUAGAAGGGGAAAUUUUUUAUGGGGUCCCCCUCAUAGACAAAGAAGAAUGUGUCGCCUUCAUAGUCACAAAAUGUUCAACGCCAUCUCAGCAUCUCUCCUCCUCCCUGACCCACAAGGUCACCCCUGAGUCACAUGGUCACAUGACCUAGCAUCCCGAGGGCAAGGAAGAGGAAGGAGUGGCCACACCUUAAUCUGGAGCGCGAUACCAAUAUCAUCUUAGCCAGGCCUAGUUGUAUGUCCCUAGCCAUGUAGGAGGUGAGGUGUAGAGAAACGUUGCAUAGGCAGUAAGCAUUGCUAUUACAAUAAAGAGAAAUGGCGGAGGCUUCA